Molecule: ribosomal RNA, 394 nt
Filed under: uncultured bacterium
Lineage: Bacteria
Description: partial 16S ribosomal RNA
Rfam family: Bacterial small subunit ribosomal RNA
Source: RNAcentral
AUACGUAUGGGGCGAGCGUUAUCCGGAAUCAUUGGGCGUAAAGCGCGCGUAGGCGGCUGUCCAAGCGGGGCGUCAAAUCCCGGGGCUCAACCCCGGGCCGCGCCCCGAACUGGGCGGCUUGAGUCCGGUAGGGGGAGGCGGAAUUCCCGGUGUAGCGGUGAAAUGCGCAGAUAUCGGGAAGAACACCGGUGGCGAAGGCGGCCACCCGGGCGGCGAAUGACUCUGAGGCGCGAAAGCUAGGGGAGCGAACAGGAUUAGAUCCCCUGGUAGUCCUAGCCGUAAACGAUGGGCACUAGGUGUGGGGGAGACCGAUCCUCCGUGCCGCAGCCAACGCAUUAAGUGCCCCGCCUGGGGAGUACGGCCGCAAGGCUAAAACUCAAAUGAAUUGACGGGG